GGGAUCAAGACAAUCUGCUGGGGUCUUCGAUAUUUGGGGCCAUCCUCUCAGAAACUGCCAGUACCUUAUCCGUCCUGUGAGACUCUAAUCAAUAAAUUCAACCUACAGACACACAGUGCCAGUUCCUAAGCUUCUAGUCAAUGCAGUUCUAUGUUUGAGCAUAAUACUAGAGCACCCAAGCUGGUUCUAUCUGGCUAAUACUGCACACUUGGGAUUUUGUGCAGUGGUGUUGGGAGAGAGAUUCAAGACAAAUGCAGAAGAUGGGCUUUUCUUAAGGUGGGUAACCUCAAAGACCCUGUUCAAAUUAAGGCUUUGCAACCCCAAACCCUAUACUUCUAAGUGUGAACCAGAACUAAAUUUGCUCUUUUUUCCUAUUGUAGGGAAUACUAGAGAAGAUUAUCUUGAUACUGAAUAUGGUCAGAGAAGAACAGAAAAGAGUAAAAUCUGUCUCAGAAUUUGUGCCUCCAAAAAUGUAUAAUAGAUGUUGAGAAAUGGGAAGAAAAUGUUCAAAUGAGAAGGGGAACAAUAGAUGGGGGAGGGGAAAAGAAAAGAAGGGACAAGAAAAAAGAGAAUAGAAGGGAAAAAGUGGAAACAAAGCUUUUAUAAAUAAGAAGGGGAAGAAGGGUUGAAAGGUGGGGAGAGGGAUGGGAAAAAAAGAAGCAAGAUAUACAGGCACAAAUUUCCUGUGGAGAAUGUUAUCACUAUAUGCAUCUAAAAUGUACCAAUAAAUGUUUUGCUUAAAAAAGAAUUUGUGGUUCUAGAUCAGUCCUGAGAUGGUACCUGGAUGGAAUGGAAAAUGAAGCUGUGAACUUAUUCUGAGAUCAUUAGAUGAUAAUCAGUGGGGGAGUCAAAGAUGAUCAGGUAUGCAAGAAAAUAAGACCAUAUGACAAAUAACAAUAGAAACAACCAACUCCAGUAACAUACUUAUACAGACUUCAGAUACUGAUAAGUUGUUAAAAAAGUGCAUAAUAAAAAGGCUGCAAACUAUCUG
This 991-nucleotide long non-coding RNA is filed under the name Fukomys damarensis (Damara mole-rat). Its description in RNAcentral is "lncRNA (ENSFDAG00000028448.1)". Lineage: Eukaryota; Metazoa; Chordata; Mammalia; Rodentia; Bathyergidae. The record is from RNAcentral.